This is a non-coding RNA of Pelobates cultripes (western spadefoot toad), 271 nucleotides long. The record is from the annotation of a GenBank genome assembly. NCBI's taxonomy places the organism in Eukaryota, Metazoa, Chordata, Amphibia, Anura, Pelobatidae.
CAGGUCCACUAUAAGGAGACAGUAACAGGCAGGUCCAUGACAAGAUGACAUUAACAUGCAGGUCCAUGACAAGAAGACAUUAACAGGCAGGUCCACUAGAAGACGACAGUAACAGGCAGGUCCAUGACAAGAUGACAGUGACAGACAGGUUCAUGACAAGAAGACAGUAACAGACAGGUCCAUGACAAGAAGACAGUAACAGACAGGUCCAUGACAAGAAGACAGUGACAGCAGGCAGGUCCAUGACAAGAAGACAGUGACAGCAGGCAGG